RNAcentral lists this transfer RNA (67 nucleotides) under Takobia yixiani. Its description in RNAcentral is "tRNA-Ile". Lineage: Eukaryota; Metazoa; Arthropoda; Insecta; Ephemeroptera; Baetidae. The record is from RNAcentral.
AGUAAGGUGUAAAGCCAGAAUAAAACUUUUAAUAAGAAUACAAAGUAUAUGUCCCGCUGUAUCAAUG